UAAAUCAAUGAGAUAAAUACAAAUAAUGUGAGGAGGCUGUGGGCCAGGCAGAGUUAGCAGUAGGAGUAGGGCAGGAGUGGGGUUAUAAAAGAUGGGGAAGGGUCACCUAGAGAGUCAGGGCAGGUGGUAGAAACAAACUGGUAGGAGCGGUUUUGCCCCCUUUUUAUGGUUUUUCCUAAGGCCCUGUGGUGAUGGUGUUGGUUAGCACAGCACCGUGGCUGUGGAGAAGGUGGGGAGAGUAGGAAGGCAAAUGUUUAGGACAAAGCUGGCCGUGGUGCAAGGUCUGCCUGCAGAAGCCCUCAGGAGAGGAAGGGCAUGGAGUGAGUGUGUCACCCAGCAGCCCCCCACCAGCACCCCAGCCCGGGGGGUGGGUGCCUAUCCCGCAGCCAUGGCCUGCCAGUGACCCCCUCUGCCUGCACAGCCCCAGGGCCUCGCUGCCCUUCACCAUCCCGUCCGCAGGAGGCUGCCCAAGGGGUCUAAUGCGGCCGGGCAGCCGAUAGCCCUCGCCGUGGCCGCUGUCCGUGCUGACCGAAGGGCGAUGCCUACGCCGGGACCUGCCGUGCCGUCUGUCCCUUAGUUGCAGGGGCAUCUUCCUCCGGCCCUUUCCUCUCUCUGCAGAGCACGGCUUUGGGUGGCAGCACAGCCCCGACUCUCCGGGGGUAUCCAGGGUCCAAAUCUGAACAGGUAGGGACGGCCUGAGGAAAGACGCAGGAGGUGUUAGGGAGUUGGCAGGGGCCACGCCGUGAGGGCUGGGGAAGGAAGGACAGCAAGGGCCGGCAGUGAGAACACUCUCUGAGAGCCAGAAGGACAGCAGUGCCCGCACCCCAGCCGUGGGAGGGCGAGGCCCUGAAACCCGUCCCUGGAGCGGACUCUCGCGGGGGUGGGCUGGCACGCUCGAGGCCCAGUGGGCUCGCUUAAAAAUAACGCAAAUACUUCCGUAAAACUGCUUAAAGCGAGGGACGGACAAGUCCUGCAAGAAAUUGGGCGUCCUUGGGGACGCGGCGGGUUGGGAAAGGCAUGUGUCAAUUUAGCCCUAGUGUUGACUUAAGCGAAAGUGCUAAGCCAUUCCUAAACCUAAGUCAAUACAGACUUAAGCCAAAAUUGUUAUUAACGAGCUCUAAUCUGAUUUAAGAGCCUCCGAGCGAGCCGUGUCUACACGAGGCGCGUUGCCUUGCGCUGCGCUCCGCGGUGCCCGGUCCCCCGGGGGGGCCGCGGCCCGGGACAGCGGGAGGGUCGGGAGAAUGCAUCCCCAGGGAGGAGGAAGGCGGGUUUCGAGGAAAGCCGGGCCACAGUGAUUUGGGAUGACCGGUGAUCUCCCUCCGCGGGACAACCUCUUAAAACUGUACCCAGCUCGGCUGGCGUGGGGCGGUUCGGGGCUGUGCAAAGCCCUGGGCCGGGGGUGUUUGCAGUUGGGGCCGGGGCUGCCGGGACCUCUCGGCCGUGCCUGGCCCGGGGGUGGUGCCGAGGGCCGGCAGCUCCGCUCGCUCGGGAGAGGGACAUGCCAAUGCAUUUUUUCCCCCGUCCCAAUGGGGCAGUUGAGCCCUCCACUCCACCCCCCAGUGGGGGCCUUUCUUUUCUUCCCCACCAGCUUUGAGCAGCCCUGUUUCAGAUUGGCCUUUUUAUGUUUGAUAUAAAGAAUAGUUGUUGGCCAAUUCCAUCUUUUCAUCGCUGCUCUCCAGGCCCGGGUCCAAGCGGCUUGUCAGAUGCUCAUUAACUCCCCCUUUGGCUCUUUCCAGUGUGUCUCCUAAGCUCAUUGUGCCAAGAACUAGCGCUUCUUUCUCUUUACACGGCUCCCUUUCUCUGCUCCAUCAGGGAGACAAAUUACUUUCCAAAAGGGAUCGCCAGGGAUGGUUUAAUGAGAAUUUCUCUAGCGCUGGCCGUGGAAAUCAAUGUAGUUAACAUUCGGUGCACUUAAUUGGACUUUUCUCUUCUGCCUCCUUCAAAAAAACUCUGAAGCUAUCCUGUUAAUCUCUCAUUUGUAAUCAAUUGUGUUGACUAAACAAAAGUCUAGGUCGUCCUUUCUUCCUGUCCCAGACAAUCCUUUGUUGCCUCUAAAUGCCUCAUUCUUGAGUGCUCCUGGUCGUGUAGAUGGGUCCGAUUUUUGACAGUUCAUUAUUGCGCUUUUGUCCAUUUAAUCUCCCUCGCUGUGUUUUGCAUGUGCAUGCCUUAAUGAGCUCCGUUGGCAAUUAACAUGUUUCUAGCAGCAAACUGGUUGCUCAGACGUUUGGAGAGCGGAGUGCAGGGAAAAGGGCAACGCAGCUGCCUGUAGGUUGGUCGCUUCCCGGUGCCCGGCGCGGUGCCGGGACGCACCUGGGAGCCGCCCGGUGCCGGGGAGGCGCCGGGCCGGGCCGGGCGGGCCGAGGGGGGAAGCCCGGCGGUGCUGGCACGUCCCUCUCUGCGCGGAGGCACCUCUAACCCUCCCCCCGAGGCACCGGCACCGCUCAAUCUGUUGUGUGCGCGGCUGUGGCGCCGGGAGAGUUUUUUUUUUUGUGCGGGUUUUUGUGUUAUUAUUGAGGCUUGCUGGCAAGAGUGCCGAAGUGUGAGCAGUCGUGGACAGCAGAAACAUCUUGUGAGGGAGAAGAUAAUUGGAGUCUCUGGCGUGUGUGUGUCUGACAGAGCCGCCCCUCCCCCGCGAUCUGCGGCUUGUAUGUGCCAGGAUCCGGGCGAGAUCCCGGGGGGGGGCAGGGGCCGGCCGGUGGCGAGCGCGCUGCCGCGGCCCCUUCCCGGUGCGUCCGAGGUCGGGGGGAAGCCGGAGCGACAGCCGGCCCGGGCAGGGCUGCCCGCCGCCACCCGGGGGGGGCCAGGUAACCAAGCCCACCCAGCGGCGGCCGAUACGGCCCUGCAGGGUGCCCCGAGGAUGCCCUUAACCGUGACGGGAAUGACUCCCUCCCCCCUCACAGACGGCUCUGUAAACAACGCCGCUUUUUAUAAAAAUGCGAUAAGAACGCGCUUCCUUAAUUCCCUUCCCGGGAGCGGGUUUCGCACUGCUCUCGCCCAUCAGGGAUGCUGAGGAAGCAGCCUGCGCGCUGUCUGUGGGGCCUGUAGCCGCGCCUGGCUCCCGCUUUCGGCUCCCGACUGGCAGCCCAGACCUUUUCCCGCGGCCCGAGGUGCGGAGGAAGCAGAGCUUCCCCCGGACCUGACAGCGGCACCGGCUCCGUAGCCGCCCCUCGGGAUGCGCACGCCCCGCUCCCCUCCUCCGGAACCUUGUCCUGCCGUGGCCUCCCCCCAUACACUGUCCUCUCGGAGAAAGGGGUCCCCCCCUUCUGUCCCCGGCCCGUGGGCUGUCCCGCCCCGUCUGUCGCGGCGUCGGGAGAGCCGGGCUCGGCUCCCGCCUGCAAAGGCUUGAGCUGCAGCCCCUUCGCUUGCGGGACCCUUUCCCCCGACAGGGUGUCCAGAGCGGUGACUUAACGGCGACGGGGAUAAUUGGACAUCCUUUUCCGCCCCUCAAACCAUCAAAACGCUACUUCUGACACUGGAAAAUGCAAACCCCAAGAAACUCUGAAAUCGCCCCAUCCCUCCAGCAGGAGCACGGGGUCCGCCAGCCCUGGCCCCAGCCCCCAGCCCGCUCCUCGGGGAGCGCGGAACAUCGCAGCCGAAUAAUGAUCCAGAAACCCGGAGCGAGGGGUCGCCUCCCGUUCCUGCGCUCGGCGGCGAGCUGUGCUCGUCCUCGCCUCCUACAAUUUAACCACUCAAUUAAGCGGAGAAAGGUGAGCUCCCCAUUACGCCGUCCCCGGGCAUUUCGGUGCCUUUCUCGUUCCCCUCUUCAUUGGCAAGCCCGGCCCGAGCAGCACGCACACGCCCGGCCGCCUCAAUCUCCUUUCUCCGCUAGAAUAAUAUUGUUCCUAACGACGUGGCCAGAAUAGACACUUGCGUAUUAAAAGUGAGGGAGGGGGGGAGAUGAGAAGGGAAUAUUUAGUGUAAUCCAAGUGCUUGAUUAUCCAUAUUCUGAUCAAAAAGAGUUUCUGAGGCCUGCUGGGAGUGAUUAGAUUAAUGUAAUGCGG
Long non-coding RNA from Pseudopipra pipra, 4001 nucleotides. RefSeq lists it as uncharacterized. The record is from RefSeq and is a predicted model, not a curated record. NCBI's taxonomy places the organism in Eukaryota, Metazoa, Chordata, Aves, Passeriformes, Pipridae. The transcript is spliced from 2 exons.